GAACAGAAAUCGUUUUAUUGCAUUCUACACGUGUUUCGAAAGCCACAAUUUACCAAAAUCCGAUUGAAUAAGGAGACCAUAUUGUGUCUUUCUCUUCAGGAAGAAAUAGGAAAUCCGUUGGAAAAAACAAAAACAGGACAGAGGCGGAGCAAAACAAAUCAAACGAGGCUCCUAAGAGCCCAUGGCCAAACAUGUCUUCUGCUGUGAUUUUUGCUACCAAGGUAUCGGUUAAACUUUUGAUUAAUCUGCAACAAGAUUAUUCAUCUUUCUAUUUCACAAAAUAUAUAUAUAUAUAUAUAUAUAUAUAUAUAUAUAUACACAUGAUUUCCCAGUUUGUGUGUGUGUGUGUAUAUGUAUAUGCCUUUGCCCAUAUAUGAUGAUGAUGAUUUUAAAACUCUAAAGAAAUCUGACUCAUUUUCUAAAUGCCUUCAUCUCAAUAAACAUGUUUGCAUUUAUGUACACACACACACAUAUACAUCGCCAUCAUCAUCAUUUAACUUCUGCUUUCCAUGUUGGCAUGGGUUGGACGGUUUGGCUGGAGCCAGCAUCAAGCUUUGCUGUCUGCCUUGGCUAUGGUUUCUAUGGCUGGGUUCCCUUCCUAACGCCAACCCCUUUGCAGAGAGGACAUGACAUAUAAGUCCCGAUGGCAGUUCAUAUCUGGUUCUUACAACUGGAUAGUUUGCUGUUCAUUCAGAGACUACCUUUCUCUUUAUAAAUGUCCCCAAAAUGUCCCACUGCCUUGGCUUUGUUGUCUCACUUUAUUCAACAUAUACAUACUCACACACGACCCGCGUUGGACCCCCUCGCUCAUACUAUUAUUGAACCGGGAGUCUAACAGUGGUCCUCCUGUAGCACCUACAUAGCCUUACCUGCCGUUUAGGUCUUCUGGAUACCAAGACCUCUUAUAUAUAUAUAUUUCGACGAGUCGUGUUCUGUCCUCACCUUUGAAACACGCUGGAGUUGAACCAGGGACAGCUGAUGAUGGGGAAUUUUCCCUGUGUUGUUUGUCUUGUACUCUGGUUUUUCGUUGUUAAAAAAAGGUCCGUUUACACGUUUGUUUUUACGUUUUCGUUUCUCGUUGAGUUCUACGUCUAUUUGUGGUGUCCUGUACUCACGUAUAUAUAUUUAUAUAUGCAUGUAUAUAUACAUGUAGAUGUAGGUACGUACAUAUAUGUAUGCAUAUAUUUUAUUUAUUACACUAUUAGAUAUAAUGAUAAAUCUCAGAGCGAGUUAUAAACAGUAGCGGUAACACAUCGUGACGCAUAUUUGCCAUUUGAAUAUGGCUUACCCAUAAGGGUGAAUGCUACUGUAGUUUGUAGCCCCAGGAAGAUAUCUCCUCCAGCUGGCUAUAGACACACUAUCUGUGUCCUCUCAGUAUUUGUGAAGGGGAGUCAUCCUCCCCGUCUUCAACACAUGAUACACACGUACCCGAGUUUCAAGGUGUUUACCUUUCAUCAGCGUGUGACAAUCAUGGUUGUCGAUGAGAAGUCAGAUCCCUUCACAAAUACAUAUACUUUUUCCAGUGUCGAUUGACACUGAUAUUGAAAAAGUGAAAUCAAACAAUGACUAAUCUCAUUGAAACUCGGGUACGUGUGUAUCAUGUGUUGAAGAUGGGGAGGAUGACUCCCCUUCACAAAUACUGAGAGGACACAGAUAGUGUGUCUAUAGCCAGCUGGAGGAGAUAUCUUCCUGGGGCUACAAACUACAGUAGCAUCCACCCUUAUGGGUAAGCCAUAUUCAAAUGGCAAAUAUGCGUCACUAUUAUAUAUAUAUAUAUAUGUAUAUGUAAAAAAAUAGAAACUGGGACAAGAACGCAAGACAUUUAGAAGACAAUACAAAAAACACGGACGGGACAUUCGAAGCCUUCAAUCUUCAGUCAAGAACCGGAUCAUCCUCACAAUUUCGGCUGUGCGAGGAUGAUCCGGUUCUUGACUAAAGAUUGAAGGGUUUGAAUAUCCCGUCCGUGUUUUUCGUGUCGUCUUCUAAAUGUUUUGCGUUCUUGUCCCAGUUUGUAUUUUUUUACAUAUACAUAUAUAUAUAGUGGCGCCCGUACCCUUUUUGGUCUUGUAUGUAAGUAUAUAUAUAUAUAUAUAUAUAUAUAUAUAUAUAGGCGCAGGAGUGGCUGUGUGGUAAGUAGCUUGCUAACCAACCACAUGGUUCCGGGUUCAGUCCCACUGCGUGGCACCUUGGACAAGUGUCUUCUACUAUAGCCUCGGGCCGACCAAAGCCUUGUGAGUGGAUUUGGUAGAUGGAAACUGAAAGAAGCCCGUCGUAUAUAUGUAUAUAUAUAUGCAUGUGUGUGUUUGUGUGUCUGUGUUUGUCCCCCUAGCAUUGCUUGACAACCGAUGCUGGUGUGCUUAUGUCCCCGUCACUUAGCGGUUCGGCAAAAGAGACCGAUAGAAUAAGUACUGGGCUUACAAUGUAUAAGUGCCAGGGUUGAGUUGCUCGAUUAAAGGCGGUGCUCCAGCAUGGCCGCAGUCAAAUGACUGAAACAAGUAAAAGAGAGUAAAGAGUAUAUAUAGUUAAUCCAAACAUGAAAACACAACGACGUGAGGACGUGGAACAAGUAUAGUAUUAUUGGACGCUCAGGAAAGAAGGAAAGAAGGAGGGUUUAAUGUUUCGAGCGGAGCUCUUUGUCAGAAACAUAGGAAAAGGAAAGAUCCAGAGAAGGGAAGACGGAGGAAAAAUAAUCGCCAACGGUGUUUGUCCCCCGCCACCACUUGACACUUAACAGCAGGUGUUGGUGUGUUUACAUCCCCAUGACUUAGUGGUCUGGCAGACAAAAACUGAUAGAAUAAGAACCGAACUUCAAAAAUAAAAGACUGCCAUAGUUAAACCUUUAAAAGUGGUGCUCCAGCAUGGCUGCAGAGGGACAAAAUAACACCAAGUCAUUGAACUAAGGCCAAACGGUGAAGAAUGGUCUAAUUAUAAUAUAAUUAACGGAAAAAUUUUAAUUAAUUUAAAGUACAUCUACAGUGAUGAAACAGAAAAUACAUUACAUUAAUUAAUUGUAUUUUUAAUUAAUUGUUGUUGUUUAACCCCAGGUCAGUCCUGAUCCAGGCAGACCUAUGAUCAAAGACGCUCCACCUGUGACCAUCCCUCCUUUUAUUCAGGCACAGUGUAUCUAGGACUACAUUAUCUAAUGUAUAGUAGAGUAGUAAGUAUUAGUGGCUAUAGCUGUUGUUGUUUAACCCCAGGUCAGUCCUGAUCCAGCAGAGAGAGACCUAUGAUCAGAGAUGUUCCAGCUGUGACCAUCCCAUCUUUUAUUCAGGCAUAGUGUAUCUAGGACUACAUUAUCUAAUGUAUAGUAUAGUAGGUAGCAUUAGUGGCUAUAGUUGUUGUUGUUGUAGUUUAGCCCCAGGUCAGUCCUGAUCCAGACAGACCUAUGAUCAAAGACGCUCCACCUGUGACCAUCCCUCCUUUUAUUCAGGCACAGUGUAUCUAGGGCUACAUUAUCCAAUGUAUAGUAUAGUAGUAAGUAUUAGUGGCUAUAGCUGUUGUUGUUUAACCCCAGGUCAGUCCUGAUCCAGCAGAGAGAGACCUAUGAUUAAAGAUGUACCAGCUGUGACCACCCUAUCUUUUAUUCAGGCAUAGUGUAUCUAGGACUACGUUAUCUAAUGUAUAGUAUAGUAGUAAGUAUUAGUGGCUAUAGUUGUGUUGUUUAGCCCUAGGUCAGUCCUGAUCCAGACAGACCUAUGAUCAAAGACGGUCCAGUUGUGACCAACUCCUCUUUUAUUCAGACAUAGUGUAUCUAGGACUACAGUAUCCAAUGUAUAGUAUAGUAUUAAUGGCUAUAGUUGUGUUGUUUAGCCCUAGGUCAGUCCUGAUCCAGACAGACCUAUGAUCAAAGACGGUCCAGUUGUGACUAUCCCAUCUCUUAUUCACACACAACCUAUAAUCUGGUGACGUUGAUGAUCGCCUGGGGCUAAAUGCAUCAGUAACACCUCCACCGCCCUGCCCUGCCCCUAGCCACAUUCAGAUGGCUAAUGUCCCUUUUGCUAUAAUAAUAUUGUUACUCAUUAAAUUAUUUAAUCUUUGAUAAAAUCAUUUAAGAGCAAUUAGCCGAAAGUUAGUCUGCAGUUCCAAGGACUUGCAUCUCCGGACACUCGCAAAUCUGUUUUUCUUCUACCUUCUUCUCGUUUUCGGCAUGAGCCUGUGGCCAUGCUGGAGCACGACCUUGGAAAGUUUUAGUCAAAUGAAUCAACCCCAGGAACCCCCCCCCCCUUUUUUUUUUUAUUUCUUUUAAGCUUGUUCUACGGGUUUCUUUUGCCAAACUGCUAAGUUGCAGGGAUGGAAACAAACCGACACUGGUUGCGGCGGUGGUGGUGGUGGUGGUGGGACAAACACACACACACAAAAACACUCAUAUAUAUCAUCAUCAUCAUCAUGCACAAGAGUGGCUGUGUGGUAAGUAGCUUGCUUACCAACCACAUGGUUCUGGGUUCAGUCCCACUGAGUGGCAUCUUGGGCAAGUGUCUUCUGCUAUAGCCCCGGGCCGACCAAUGCCUUGUGAGUGGAUUUGGUAGACGGAAACUGAAAGAAGCCCAUCGUGUAUAUAUAUGUAUGUGUGUAAGUGUGUUUGUCCACCCCAUCAUCACUUUACAACAGAUGUUGGUGUGUUUACGUCCCUGUAACUUAGCGGUUCAGCCAAAGAGACUGAUACAAUAAGUAUUAGGCUUCCAAAGAAAAGUCCUGGGGUCGAUUUACUCGACUACCGUCCAUUGACCAUGCUGGCAUCGGUUGAACGAUUUGAUGAAGGCUGACAAGCUGCUGGAAGUUGCAGAGUGUAUAUAUAUAUAUAUGUAUGUAUAUAUAUCAUAUGUGUAUGUAUAUAUAUCAUAUGUGUGUAUGUAUGUAUAUAUAUCAUAUAUGUAUAUAUAUAUAUGUGUCAUAUAUGUAUAUAUAUAUAUGUAUGUAUGUAUAUAUGUAUAUAUAUAUAUAUAUAUAUAUAUAUAUUUGUAUAUACAUGUAUGUAUAUAUAUAUAUGUUAUAUAUAUAUAUAUAUAUAUAUAUUUGUAUAUAUAUAUGUAUGUGUAUAUAUAUAUAUAUAUAUAUAUUUGUAUAUACAUGUAUGUAUAUAUAUAUAUAUGUAUAUAUAUAUAUAUUUGUAUAUACAUGUAUGUAUAUAUAUAUAUGUAUAUAUAUAUAUAUAUAUAUAUAUAUAUAGGCGCAGGAGUGGCUGUGUGGUAAGUAGCUUGUUUACCAACCACAUGGUUCCGGGUUCAGUCCCACUUCAUGGCACCUUGGGCAAGUGUCUUCUACUAUAGCCUUGGGCCGACCAAAGCCUUGUGAGUGGAUUUGGUAGACGGAAACUGAAAGAAGCCCGUCGUAUAUAUAUAUAUAUAUGCGUGUGUGUGUUUGUCCCCCUAGCAUUGCUUGACAACCGAUGCUGGUGUGUUUAUGUCCCUGUUACUUAGCGGUUCGGCAAAAGGAGACCGAUAGAAUAAGUACUGGGCUUACAAAAGAAUAAGUCCCGGGGUCGAGUUGCUCGAUUAAAGGCGGUGCUCCAGCAUGGCCAGUCAAAUGACUGAAACAAGUAAAAGAGUAUAUAUAUAUGUGUAUAUAUAUAUAUAUAUAUGUAUGUGUGUAUAUAUAUAUAUAUAUAUAUCCCCUUCCGGUCAACUUAUACUUAAAAGGCCACCCCACACGUGCUCUACCUCAUUCACCUAGCAGCUAUAUCCUGAGUACAGAUAAGUUGAAAACUUAUUUUCACUUCUCGACCGAUCAUACUACAUUCGCAUUCGCAUCUAACACUCAAAACAUGUUUUUAUCUAUUUUAUCUACUUAACUAAUUACUAAUACGCUUGUUCUCUACGUAAGCUAAGCAGUUGUCAUCGUAUUCCCUAAUUUCCUCUCAUCAUUAUGUGCCGAUAAUUUCUCCAUUUCUCCACCGUCCCCCCUCAAUAUCCCUUUAUCAUUAUGUGCUGAUAAUUUCUCCAUGUUACUACGAUAAUUUUGCCCGUCCAAGUCCUUGCUCGCUCUCUCCUCUAUCAACCUUCGCGUAUUUGCGGUGCACCCGCCCUUGCCCAACCCCACCACCAAUACCGGAUAUCUCUAUAUUUUUGCUCCAUCUAUACCGGAUGUUGCUUCUCCCACCACCAUUAUAGGUGUCUACCCUUCGAACCCCCCUCUUCAAUACGCUAUUUCACCAUGCAUUACCCCUCUUGUGAUACCCUACAUUCUACUUGUCUAGAACCUGUCAUCGUUUCUCCGAACACCCCUCCCCACUGGUACUCCCCUAUAUUCCUGCACCCUCCACCCCCCACAUAAAAAGCACCAUCCGAACGUGGCCGAUGCCAGCACCACCCCGACUGGCUUCUGUGCAGGUGGCACAUAAAAAGCACCAACCGACCAUGGGCGAUGCCAGACCCCUCUGCAGGUGUCACGUAAAAAGCACCCACUACACUCGCGGAGUGGUUGGCGUUAGGAAGGGCAUCCAGCUGUAGAAACACUGCCAGACCAGACUGGAGCCUGGGGCAGCCCCUGGCUCCCCAGACCCCGGUCGAACCGUCCAACCCGUGCUAGCACGGAAAACGGACGUUAAACGAUGAUGAUGAUGUAUAUAUAUAUGUAUGUAUAUAUAUAUGUAUGUAUGUAUAUAUAUAUAUAUGUAUGUGUGUAUGUAUAUAUAUAUAUGUAUGUGUGUAUGUAUAUAUAUAUGUAUGUGUGUAUGUAUAUAUAUAUGUAUGUGUGUAUGUAUAUAUAUGUAUGUAUGUGUGUAUGUAUGUAUAUGUUUGUAUAUGUACGUAUAUAUAUGUAUAGAUGACCCCACAAGUCCCUGCAAUCAUCUGACAGGAAGUUUCUUUCAGACGAUGCAAUGUUUGCGUUAAUCAAUUGAAGGUGUCGCUUGAAAUGACCAUAACGAAUUGACACCUGUAUGUUUGUGAUGAGGAGCGCUAGGAGUGUCAUGGGGGCGGCAGCCCAAGAAUGUUGGACAAGUUGGUUGCGUAACUGGUACCUAUUUCAUCGACCCUGAAAGGCAAAAAUCAACUUCUGUAGAAAUUGAACUCGGAACGUAACUGCAGAAGAAAUACCUAUUUCUUUAUUACCCACAAGGGGCUAAACAAGGACAGACAAAGGGAUUACGUCGACCCCGAAAGGAUGAAAGGCAAAGUCGACCUUGGCGGAAGUUGAACUCAGAACGUAGUGGCAGAUGAAAUACCUGCGUUCAAAUUCCGCAAAGGUCGACUUUGCCUUUCAUCCUCGAUUAAAUAAGUACCAGUUACGCACUGGGGUCGAUGUAAUCGACUUAAUCCCUUUGUCUGUCCUUGUUUGUCCCCUUGUGGGUAAUAAAGAAAUAGGUAUUUCGUCUGCCACUACGUUCUAUUUCUUUAUUACCCACAAGGGGCUAAACAAGGACAGACAAACGGGUUAAGUCGAUUAUAUCGACCCCAGUGCGUAACUGGUACUUAUUUAAUCGACCCUAAAAGGAUGAAACAUUGAUCCGUCAUUUCUGGUUUGUUUACAUUCUGAUUAAAUUUGUUUCGGCAAGGGGCCUUACACAGAGGGGACGAAGAAUGACAGACAAAAGGAUUAAGUCGAUUAUAUCAUCCUCAGUGUGCAACUGGUACAGUUUUUAAUCGAUCUGGAAAGGAUGAAAGGCAAAGUCGACCUCAGCGGAAUUUGAACUCAGAACGUAGUGGCAGAAGAAAUACCUAUUUCUUUUCUGGCUACACACACAGAGUGGACAAACAAAGACAGCAGACAGACGGAUUAAGUCGACCCCAAAUCGUAACUGGUACUUUAUUUAUCGACCCCGAAACGAUGAAAGGCAAAGUCGACCUCGGUGGAAUUUGAACUCAGCAAUAUUUCGUCUGUCUUUACGUUCUAAGCAUUUCGCCUGGUGUGCUAACGUUUCUGCCAGUUCGCCGCCUUCAGUAAUAUAUUCCUUUACUGCCCACAAGGGGCUAAACAUAGAGGGGACAAAUAAGGACAGACAAACGGAUUAAGUCGAUCCCAGUGCGUAACUGAUACUUAAUUUAUCGACCCCGAAAGGAUGAAAGGCAAAGUCGACCUCAGUGGAAUUUGAACUCAGAACGUAAAGACAGACGAAAUACAGCUAAGAAUUUCGCCCGGCGUGCUAACGUUUCCGCCUUCAGUAAUAAUAAUAAUAAAGCUAUUAAUCCCUUCUAUUAAACGCACGGGCGGGGGCCGAUCUCUGCACUCAUCUUGUCCCAAAAGGAUCUUGGAAGGUAAAAGGCAUUUUUGUCCACAGAGCCAAUACAAAGGGAAGUAACUCCGAGAAGCCAGAGUAAAUGGCGGCGGCGGUCGUUAAAAUUAUUCGGCUUUUGUCCACCUUUUACCCGUUUCAGUCAGUAUCCAGCAUCACUUGAGGCCCUGCGCUUGUUUGUUUACAUCCCCCAUGACUUAGCAGUUCAUUUUGAGAUUGAUAGAAUAAGGAUCAGACGUUUUUUUUACUUUCACCGGGUUCCAUUCGUCCGACUAAAACCGUUCGCUGAGAAAUACGUUGAGGGAACACGCCUGUGGAAUACUCAACCACCUACACAUUAAUUUCACAAGCAGGCUGUGAUCGUAAGGUCGUCAGUUCAAUUCCCACCUUAAUUUUACCGUGUCCCAGUCCACUUACCUGGCAAAAGUCAGCUUCCAUUCACAAUUCGAAGGGAGCAGCCUUGUCACAUUGUAUUUCCCUGUAAAUCACAUGAAAAAAGGACGUGUCUGUGGAGUACUCGGCCAGUUGCGUGUUUAUUUUCAAUAGCAUAUUCUGUUGAUUGAGUGCCAUUUGUUGCCCGGUUGGUCACUCUAGCCUCAUACCUCUUUACUGACCUUCAAAGAUAAAACUGACACGGGCAGGAUUCGAAACCACAACGUAGAUGUCCACAACACAUUCGAUCCGAUUUUCUUAAAUUCGGUGCCUUUGCAUUUUUUCCUUUUGACUCCAAACUGAACGGAAAAUGUAGACAGUUCCCUUCCUUGAAACCAAUUGUCUCGUCUAUUGGCCACUGGAGGGCGCAACCAAAGCGACUGAGACUGGUGGUUCCCAACCGAUUUUUGGCCCCACCGAACCAUUUCUAAGAUCCUCAUGCCUCCUUGUGAUGUAUAAUAAAUGUUGGGAUCUUUUCCGUUUGACCGGCAGUUUUUUUUAAAUAAUUUCCGCGUAACUAAACACUUUUAAACUUCGUAUAUAGAAUGUGUUUAUAAAACAUCUUUUUCUCUUGGCUUUAUUGAGAAAAUUCUGUUUGUAAGAUAUUUGUUGUUUUUUUUUUUUAAUUUCAACCAAUCAAUGACGUCCAUUGAGGUAAAAAAAAAAAAAAAACAUUCUGUGCCGUAUGAAUAUGUCCUUCGUUUAAGAAACAGAUUGGGUUUAUUUACAUUUCUGAAGAAAAGAAAAAAAGAUACCUUUCCCCCACCCCUAACCCUAAAACAGAUUGAAAUGCAAUAGAUCGAUACUAGGGUUAUAAUUAUGGGUGACAAUUUCAUGACACCGCUAGAAAAAACUGCUGGUGAAACCGAAAAAGGUCCCCAAAAUAGACGUAAAAAAUGUGUAGGAAAACUCUACAAAAGGAAAAUCAUUUUCUCCACUUUAGAGACAUCAGAUCUUACGAAAUGCUGAGAACGACCUGAUGUCUCUAAAGUGUCAAACGUGGUAAAAUUUGGGGGGGGGGCACAGAAUUAAACAAAAAUUUUUUUUUUUUCCUCUUUCCCUUUUCUCUUCUGGUUCCUCCUUCUUGAAAUGUCCCCUUAAUUUAUCUGGUCCAGAAUCGAUGCAGUUCCCUUGAUUUUUUUUUUUUAUAUGAAAGAGUGAAGUGGAAUCCCCUUGUUCCCAUAAUAAAAACAUAACUAUGCAGGCAUUCUUUCUUUGGGGUUUCAGUCACUUGACUGGAGCCCUGCCUUCACUCGAACCAAUUUGACCCCAGAUAAGUGUAGCAGUUCCUUUUUGCCAAACCUCUAAGCUACAGGAACAUAAACACACCAACACUGGCUGUCAAGUAAUGGUGGGGGGGGGGGGGGACAAACAUAUAUACGACGGGCUUCUUUCAGUUUCCGUCUACCAAAUCCACUCACAAGGCUUUGGUCGGCCCGAUGCUAUAGCAGAAGACACUUGCCCAAGGUGCCAUGCAGUGGGACUGAACCCGGAACCAUGUGGCUCUCCAAACGCCCAGCUUCUUCUGGUGUUUUCACCCAAUCCCCACCCCAUCGCUUGACAACCAGUGUUAGUGUGUUUGUGUCCCCCGUAACUUCCCGUGCUGGACCACCACCACCAAUAGCACACAAAAAAAACAAAAAACAAAAGAACACUGUAAAGGGUGGGGGUCAAUACUUUUAUUUUUUUUUUUUGAAAUGAUGAAGGUAGAGGGGAGAGGUAUGUAUACAUGAUAGAAGUGAGGGGGGAGGGAUUGGAGUGGGGGGGGAGGAAGAAGAGGGAUUUUUUUUUUAAAACUUGACCACUAGUCACUUCUGCUGUCACCUUCCAUCAACCACUCACUAGGUGCACUCAACCAUCCACUACCCAAAACUACUAUUACUACCACCACAACCUGUUACUAUGGUAAUGGUUGUCAAUGGUUACAACAGCUUCUGCUAUGCUUCACUAUACACCCACCACUAACCCCUCCUCACUAGAUAUAGCAACCAAACAACCCUCAAAAUCAACAUUUCCAUUCUGAUUGCUUUGAAUAAAGAAUGAAAAAAAAAAAACUGGAUUAAAAUGCUAGAUAUUCCCCUCUAAGACGAGAUGGCCAUGGUUGGAACACUGUUCCAGAGUUAGAAACACCACUGACUUCUAUUACGGAGUUCAAUUAAAAGUUACACCCGUAACGAGAAGUAAUUAGUGUGAAAGUUCAUUUAAAGAGAACCCAAGGGAGGUAAAUCUUGAAAAUUAUAUUAGAAAAAAAAAAGGGUUAGAAAUUAAAACAAAUUGUAAUAGUGGAGGAAUGAGGGGGGGGGGGAAUGGUCAGGGUGAGUCUGGGGGACAACUUUGGAUAGGUUUCAGUGUUAUUGACCUCCUCAGGCAACCAGACAAUACUAAGAUCACACACACACAAAACGGGGUCUCCUACUGUCAAGGGUUCCAGAUGAGCCGAUCUCACGGCAGGAAAACGCAAGAGAGGGCAGCAGUAUCAGACCCUCUCACUGACCAAAUGCCACCUAUCAGAGGAGGUUCUGGAUAAUAGUGUAGCAGUCAACGGUGGUGCCCCAGCAUGACCACAGCUGGGAGGGGGGGUGGGGGUGAAGCCCAAAGAUCUCCACAGGAAAUGGUGAGUGCUUUGAACACUUGUGAUCAUUUUGUGUUGUAAUUAAACAAAGUGCUGUUCUUGAAAUAUGGAAAGGAGGGGUCGUCAGUGGGGUGGCUUUGGGGCCCAUCCUGUAUCUCAACAGUUUGAAACUAGCAAGGGAAACAGACUUACCUAAACACCCAUAAAAGCACCUUUUGUCUGACGCUCUGCCGGUUCAGAGACAAGACUGCCCUAUUAAUAAUUAACGACAGUAGUAGUAGUAGUAGCAGCAGUACAUGUGGGUGGUGGUGGUGGUGGUGGUCGUCGUUAAAAUAGAUGUAGCAACAGAAUUUAGAAAUAUAUAUAUAUUUUUUUUUUUAAAUACUAAAACACCCACACAUCAAACAGAAGAGAUGGGGACGACCACGAGUUUCUCUGCCCCUGAAAUUAUCAAAUAAUUAAAAAUGUGACUGCAAUAUUAAUUAGUAGUUGUGGUGGUGAAGAAACAGGCAAACGAACCAAAAACAGUAACCAUGGCGACACUACAGACUCCCCCAACACAUACACAUUGAAGAGGCAGAGAGAGAGAGAGAAAUGGGGGUGGGGGAGAAAUAGAGAAACAGGGGCAGUUAUGAUGGUUAAGGAACUAAAUAAAUGAAGGGACAACAUUGACACACACACACACACACACACUCCCUCUAGCCUGGAGCCCAAUAAGAAAUAUAGAGAAAGACUAAGCAAAGGGAUGCUGGGAACAGCAAUUAUACUAUUGUGUGAGCACACAGUUCUUUAAUGUGCAUAUACACAAAUAUUUUAUAUAUACACACACACACACACACGCUAAAUUCAAACAGUGAGAAUGAGUGAUCCACUGUGAUGGACAAAUAUUCUUUAUUUGUGGAUCAACAAUUGUAAAGUUAUCACUUUACAUGGAACCACUGGCAGCCCUAUAUAUGUGCGGGUGUGUAUAUAUAUAUGUGUGUGUGUGUAUCUCUCUAUAUAUAAAAAGCAGUUUGUCUGUCUGUGUGUCUGUCAGGUUGUAUCCUCACCCUGACCACGGCUUUGAACCGAUUCUGAUGAAACUUCACACACACAUAGCCCAAUGUCAUAAUUCAAAACUAACGCAACGAAAAUUUUGAAAAGUUCCCCCAGUUCUGAAAAAAAAUCGAUAAAUUCAACAUGGGGUCGAGAAUCUAAGCUUUUUAUAUGCAAUACAUUUCCUGUCUAGGGGACACAACUCGACAGCUAGGUACAUCGUAUACACAGAAGUAUUCGAGUGAAGAGAAGACAUUGCAACCUACACAUGCGCCUUCGUUCCCUAGAGGGAAAGGACUAGAUUGGGAUUAGUCGUUGCCUACUAGGGGCUCUUACAUACCCGGGCAAAGCCAGGCUAUGCUGCUAGUAAUAUAUAUGUGUGUGUUUGUAUAAUAUAUAUAUAUAUAUAUGUAUGUGUAUGUGUGUGUGUGUAUGUAUGUAUUUUGGUUGAGUCAGUCUCUUGCCAUGUUGAAGCCAGUAGAGCACUCUAAGUGUGCAGAGACUGUUUUGUUCCUCAAGUACAAAUACGCGUGUAACCCCCAUUAUUUCCAUUUUGUUCUAUUUUAGAAAAACUGAAACGUGUCCUUGACAAUUCCGAGUGUCUGGUUGUGGUGGUGCAACAAACAGAACAGUGGUGGACACCUCCGGCCAAAAGCAUCGUGAGAAAGGCAACACCGCAUACACCCGAUGGUCGAUUUGGCCAAAAAGUUCAGGCAACACAGUGUGCACGACACAUACCAAAGUGACUCCCACCUGCGCCACCAAACGAGAUGUAUCUGUUAGAAACAGGCUUCAAAAAAAAAAAAAAAAAUGUCCAAAGAAAUUAGGGCACAUAUUGCCACAGGAAUAUUCCUCAUACGACAAUGCAACGAAUAAUAAAAUUUGCUAAUUUGUUUUGCUUUGGUAUUAAAUAUAAAGGGUUGUUUUUGAAAUGUGCAAUAUGUAUUAGAGUUUUAAUCUUGGCGCAUGACCUUUGGCCCAGCUUGUAUAUAUUUUUAUAGAGAUACACACACACACACA
Molecule: long non-coding RNA, 13229 nt
Filed under: Octopus vulgaris (common octopus)
Lineage: Eukaryota; Metazoa; Mollusca; Cephalopoda; Octopoda; Octopodidae
Source: RNAcentral